UGGCCUAGUGGUUAAGCAUUAGUCUACUAAGCAAAAGGUCAGUGGUUCGAACCCACU
Molecule: transfer RNA, 57 nt
Filed under: Loxodonta africana (African savanna elephant)
Lineage: Eukaryota; Metazoa; Chordata; Mammalia; Proboscidea; Elephantidae
Rfam family: tRNA
About the family: Transfer RNA (tRNA) molecules are approximately 80 nucleotides in length.
Source: Rfam by way of RNAcentral